GCCCAGUAGGCAGCAGAUCUCUACUGCGCAGCCCUGCAAACUGUUAGAAAAUGGAGGACCUUGGACAUUUUGCCUAGGUCCAGGGAUGAAGACUGGAGCAGACCUGGACCUAACCUGAAGUCUAGAGUCCAGUCUACCUUAGAUGAGCCCAGCUGAGAUCAGUCAAACCCCAGCUAUCCCACAGACCCAUGAAUGUGCAAAAUAAAUG
Long non-coding RNA from Lagenorhynchus albirostris (white-beaked dolphin), 208 nucleotides. RefSeq lists it as uncharacterized. NCBI's taxonomy places the organism in Eukaryota, Metazoa, Chordata, Mammalia, Artiodactyla, Delphinidae. The transcript is spliced from 3 exons. The record is from RefSeq and is a predicted model, not a curated record.